UACGGAAGGGGCUAGCGUUGUUCGGAAUUACUGGGUGUAAAGAGCGCGUAGGCGGCUUACCAAGUUGGGGGUGAAAUCACGGAGCUCAACUCCGGAACUGCCUUCAAAACUGGUAGGCUCGAGUCCGGAAGAGGGGCGUUGAAUUCCCAGUGUAGAGGUGAAAUUCGUAGAUAUUGGGAAGAACACCGGUGGCGAAGGCGGCUGCCUGGUCCGGUACUGACGCUGAGGCGCGAAAGCGUGGGUAGGAAACAGG
Molecule: ribosomal RNA, 253 nt
Filed under: uncultured bacterium
Lineage: Bacteria
Description: partial 16S ribosomal RNA
Rfam family: Bacterial small subunit ribosomal RNA
Source: RNAcentral